UAGGGAAUCUUCCACAAUGGACGAAAGUCUGAUGGAGCAACGCCGCGUGUGUGAUGAAGGCUUUCGGGUCGUAAAGCACUGUUGUAUGGGAAGAACAGCUAGAAUAGGAAAUGAUUUUAGUUUGACGGUACCAUACCAGAAAGGGACGGCUAAAUACGUGGCAG
Molecule: ribosomal RNA, 164 nt
Filed under: uncultured bacterium
Lineage: Bacteria
Description: partial 16S ribosomal RNA
Rfam family: Bacterial small subunit ribosomal RNA
Source: RNAcentral